RNAcentral lists this non-coding RNA (115 nucleotides) under Cellulomonas sp. RNAcentral's name for it is "SAM-IV sequence". It matches the Rfam family "SAM (S-adenosyl methionine) riboswitch aptamer". Rfam says of the family: SAM-IV is a mRNA element that regulates gene expression via direct sensing of S-adenosylmethionine (SAM or AdoMet). SAM-IV riboswitches share conserved nucleotide positions with the previously described SAM-I riboswitches sequence analysis and molecular recognition experiments suggest that SAM-I and SAM-IV riboswitches share similar ligand binding sites, but have different scaffolds. The record is from RNAcentral. Lineage: Bacteria; Bacillati; Actinomycetota; Actinomycetes; Micrococcales; Cellulomonadaceae.
GGUCAUGAGCGCCAGCGUCAAGCCCCGGCUCGCUGGCCGGCAACCCUCCUCCGCGGUGGGGUGCCCCGGGUGACGACCUGGCCGCGUCCCGUCCGGGGCUCGGCAAGCGCGGGGU